Long non-coding RNA from Bos grunniens (domestic yak), 5578 nucleotides. The record is from Ensembl. NCBI's taxonomy places the organism in Eukaryota, Metazoa, Chordata, Mammalia, Artiodactyla, Bovidae.
AUGUCCGUUUCAAAGCUUCUUAUUUCCUUCCUUUCCUUCGGUUUUCCUUCUCCAGGCGCAUUCAAUCUGCCGGAGGAGAAGGUGGGGGCGGAGGAGGAGGGGAAGAGAAAGAGUAGAAGUUUGCCAACAAUAAACUUUGUGCCGGCGAGCGCAGGGAGUCGGCAGUGGAGGGCACUACUGGGUCUCUGGGCGUCACAGCAGGGACCUCGGACCCAAAAGAUUCUGCCGGGAGCUGGAGCCGGCACACACACACUCACACACACACAACCCGACUCCUCUUUGUUCCCGGCUCGAGUUUCUUCAGUCUGGCUCGCUCGCUCUUUUGCUCGCCGCUCUCCACGCCUCCGCCGGGCCGCUUGUCAAAGAGCUGUACCUCCGGUUCCCCCGGCCAGGGGGUGGGAGACGCCUGGAGCUUGGCCGCGUGCGGAGCUGCGGAUGCGUCCCAGCUCCUCCGCCGCCGCAGAGCGCACAGCCUGGUCCCUCCUCCGCGCCCUGCCCCGCAGUCUCUCCCCCACCUCUUUUCCGCCUCUCCCUCUCCCUCCCUUGCUCUGGCAGUGGGAAGAAGAUGAAAGAGAAGCCGCCGCAGCUGUGAUCGACACCACAGUGAUAGAUGCUCUGACAGAGGGGAUGAGGCGGGAAUCGGGGACACAGAGAAGGGAAAGGGGAAACAUAACACAUUGCUCAACUAAUGAGAGAACGGAAGCAAGAAGAACAAGAAAGAGUUGUGGCUUUCCUAAAUACAUGUAAAAGGACAAGGGAACACAUGCUAACAAAAAUAAAACCUCCAGACUUAACGAGAAAAAUAGGAGGAAGAAAAAACCGAAGACUGAAUCGUAAUUAUCGCUUUUUAAGCAAGAUCUUUUUCAUUACAUCCUCACCAUAGGAUGCUCACACACAGUUACACUAGGUCGCUCGUGUAUUUUCGAAGAUACAUGCCACAAUGUGUGGGAACCUCAUAAAGAACGAAAACCACCCAAGUUGGGGAGGCAAAAGGACCCAGGAGAGUGAAGCCGGUAGAAGGAGGGAGGACAGGGCAGUCUCUGGCACCUCAGACUUUGGGCUCAAAGAGACCCUUGAAGAUGCAAAUCCAAAUUCAACCUCAAAAAUUUCCCAGCCUCCACUGUCUCUUUGAUGCAUUUUGUACAAGGACAGGACUUUUAAGGAGAUGCUUUGUGAAAGUUACAGUAUAAACGAAGCUGAAGUUUGAAAACAUCACAUUUUGUUCCUUGGCUCUCAAACUCCCUCAGUUAAAAAUCCAGGCAAAAUUAUUAUACCCAAUACAGUAGCCAUCUGUAAAACCUCAGAACAGUAAACAAGAGACAGGAAGAAAUGUGUCUCCAUCUCCCUUAAAUUGAAAAUGGGGAAAACAUUACAGAAUCAGACUUUAGCUCUGUUAUAUAGGAAUAGGCAUGUAAAGAUCCCUCUUCUUUUGUGUAAGGGAGAAAUUGCAUGCUGCUAGACAUCGUAUAAGUAAAGAUGUUAACAAUGCUCUAAACGAGCACUCAAAAUAUCGCUUAUUGGUAAUUACUUGAGAUGGGAAUCCACUAGGAAACAAUUUUUAAAACUAUCAUUUAAAGCAUUCAGUUGGUCUCAUAGAGCAUGGCCAGUAGUCACAGGGAAAAUUUCUGUCUCAGGUUCUGUUCAGUUCAGUCGCUCAGUCGUGUCCCACUCCUUGUGUCUCAGGUUAGGGUAACAUUAAAGGGCUGGUGAUGGGAGCCAGAGAGAGUAAAGCAUUAAAUCCUCUGCAAAUAGGUGAGAAUGCUAUGCCUUAAAGAAUAUUUUCUACAAUGUGUAAGGCAAUACUAAAAAGAUGGGGGGAAACCCAAUUUUACUUUUUGGUUGGUAACAUGCAACUUCACUAGGCACCGGUGAGUGUGAUGUCUCAGAGAUGUGAACAUGUAGCUAUGUCAGACAUUUAUUCCCUCUGUUUUGGAGAAGGAAAUGGCAACUCACUCCAGUAUUCUUGCCUGGGAAAUCCCAUGGACAGAGGAGCCUGGAAGGCUACAGUCAAUGGGGUCUCAGAGUCAGACACGACUUAGUGACUGAGCACACAUACCCUCUGUUCUAAAAGAAAUAUGGGAAAACAAAGUAAAAAGUCCUCCCAUAAAUGCGCCAAUUCGACGGACAGGAAAAGAACUGGAAAAUGCAGUUUCACCAAAACAGCCAGAGUAGAGAUUCCUUUUCAUCAGACUGUCAAGGGGUGGGGGUGGGGGGAUUUUCUGGAAGCCAAAGAGAUUAAAUGACGGCUCCUACAUCUGCCCCCCUCCCCGUUAAAGUGUCGCAACUAAUUCGAAUCCCAUUUACUCCUUCAUGUUAAUUAUCUGGACUCCCUGAGUCAUUUGGAGCUCAGCUCCAGGUGUCCUGGAGAUUAAGAGCUCGAGAAGAUGGGAAUUGGGGGAACAGUAACUAGUGGGAACUGUUUGCUAUAAGGGCUGAGGGUAGGUGGCUGCGUUUUGCAUUUUGCGGCAAACCUCACCUUUGGAAACACUGUUUCUAACGAAAUCACCCAGCGUCUUACUCUAUUUGCGUGACUGUUUUCCCUCCCCGUGGCGUGCGGGGUGUUUCGUUCGCUGAUUGUCCUUAGCAUUGUUGCAAGUCUUCUGACAAGGUGCAUUUAAAAGGGGCUUUUCUAGAAAGCAUUCAUUCAAGUUUUUUUUUUUUUAAAGCUUUGUCUGGGAGGGAGAUGGACAUUUCCACGCGAAGUCUGUCUCUUCAGGGAGAAAAGCUGGGAGACACUGGACGGGCGAGGCAACCCCGGGGAAGGCGUUCCUUCCCUCCUUUACAGGUUCAGUGAACUUCCUGGCAAAGGUAUUUGUGUCGCGGAGAGGUCUCUUCUAAUUCGUGUGGGGCUGCUAGUAACAUACACAGCCGCCUUUUGGGGCGCAAGGUCCGGGACCUGGUGGGUGUUGCGAGCGCGAGACACCGCCGCCCCCUUCUCUCGGAUGUAGAGGCAGGUUGUUCGUGUGAACUCGAGCGAACGACUGAAGGUUAGCUGUUGCAGGUUCACUCCUUCAGGAUGUGGGUUUCAGGGGGCGUUUUGAUGUGAUUUAAUUCCGACCGUGAAACAAUUGCUAAGGACUGGAUUGCUGUUGGUUUUUCCCCUUUUGGUGGCUUUGGUUGGUUGGGGUUUACAUUGGGAGCGAACUGUGACUUGUUUUAUAGCAACACUUCCUUCUAAGCCGGGCGCCGACGCCCGCGCUGUGCGUGGGGGGCGAAGCGCCCACCCUGCGCCGGAACAGGGAGAGAGGGGGGCUGCAAAGACGGUUCUCGAAGUCGGCAGGGUGCAUACAGCCCAGCCCCCCGCGGGUGCGGACAGGGGGACUAGACUGACCCCCACCCACACCAGAGACCCCUCCUACCUGUGGGGGGAAGGGGUCGCUGCCAAGUCAAGUCAGCUGCAGACACGCCAAUGAGUACUUAAUUACAGGGAAGAGAGAAAAGCGCGGUGCCCUUCAGAGCCCUCUCCGCCUCCUCAGCCCUAAGUCCCCGCCCGGGCUCCGGGUCUCCCCCUUUGUGUGGCCUGGACUCUCUCCCAGCGACAACUUUGGUGGGAUCCCAGAGGAAGGAGGUGGCCGGAGGAGGGGGUACGGAAAAGGAUGCUGGAAGAGAGAGACGCGAGCGUGAAGGACUAGAAAAACGAAUAAUGUGAUUCCAGGGACGGAACACCAACACCCCUCCAUUUCCCACCCCGGCGUCACCAGGGGACUAAAACUGUGGGCAUCUUCAGUUUAACGGACUUUUCGGAAAGCUGGGGCGGGAAAUGGCAGUUUGUGUCCCAGGGGUUCUUCCGCCUCUUCUCGCCUCCUCCGAAUGCAAACUCAGCCCCUCAGCCUCCCCCCACCCUCCGGGGUAACCGAGAACUCUGGGGACCGUGAAAACGUCCUUCCCCAAUCCGGCCGCCUGCGGACGCCCGGCUCCCGCGGGGCCGACGCUCUUGGGCGCCCGCAGCCUAACGCAGCCCCGCGGCGUCGGCUGCAGGAGCCCGCGCGCCCCUGGAGUCCUCCGUUGGCGUCUCCUGGGAUCGUGCGGGCCGGGUCCUCCCACUGCCCGCGAGGGAGGGCCGCAUCCCACCCCACGACCUGUGGGCUCGGCCGGCCGACCCUCUGCCCACGCGCAGCGAGAAGAGGCAAGUCGGGGUGUUCGCGGACUAGGACAAGGGGAGCCCGCGAUAAGCUCAGAGAAGCUGCGGAGGCCCGGGAAGAGGCCGGCCACGCGCCCUCGCGGCUCGGCUUCGCGUCCGGAACCCUCGACAACCCCCCGCGGGGACCCGGCCUCCGGCGCAAAGGAGUCGGCAUGAAAGUCUGGAAGGGGAUCCCCAGGAAGGGAUGGCACGGGUGUGGGAGCUGGAAUACAAUUGGGCCGCCGGGACGGCUCGCCUCCUGGGCUGGACGUGAAAGUCUUUUCCCUCCUUUCUGAAAACUUUUCUCAGGCGUCUUUCACUUGGUGUGAGGACCUGUCUCGGCCCGCCCUCCGGCCCCUCCCUCAGCCGCCGGGUCCCCAGUCCACCCGCCCUCGGGCCGGGGACGCGCGCGGAGCCGCCGCGCAGAAAGGCCGCCCGCGCGCCCGAGCCGCGCCUUAUAUCCGCGGAGGGCGGCGCCUGCGCCGGGCCGGCGCGGCGGCGCGGCCUUUGAAGUCCUGGCGGCUGCAGCUUUCAUCCUUUCUUUUUUCCCUUGCAGGCCCCUUUGUGUGACUAAAUUUGGAAAGAAUAUGGAUCCGAGCCAGUCUUUCCACGUGUGCUCCCAGCUCCCAGCUGAGAAGGCCAAGGGUUCUCUUCCGGGUAAGGAGACAGGGAGAAAGAUCAAAGAGUUUGGGGAGCUGGAUCUGAAAUGUGAAUUGAAAAUAAAAAUCAAGCCUGGACACAUUCCAGUUUCUAAAGCAAAAGCAACCCUCAGCAGAGGCCGUCUGGCUAGGACUCUUCUGCCUCUGCUUGCUAUACUCUUUCUUUGCCGCAACCAUUUUUGAGCACAUGGAGUAAAAUAAAGAAGACAUAGGGAAACAGUUUCUCCAGAUUUUGUUUUGCAGUAAUUUUAUUAGGAAAAUAUCUUGUUCAUAAUUGCCGUUAUGUGAAGUCAAUUUCUUCAGCCAUAAAUAUUAUCUUAUUUCAGUCUGCUUAGCGCUUUCUUCUGCGGCCACAUUUGGGGAGAGAACGUUGACACACGCGUGUGCACAUGUUGCUUGUGCACAGUGCUGCUUUUUCUACGCACCGUUCAGUGUGCCGUGUAGUCUAGAAAACCAGUGUUAAGACUUAUUUUACCAAAGCACUUACUAUCAAAACUGGUGUCUAUGAUUUGAUGUCCUCUUAUUGAUCGACUUUGGAAGUCUUUUCUGACACGCUGACUAGCCAGAAAGUUUGUGUCUUUAUAGUAAAAACAACAACAAAGAAAAACCCUCUAACGUCUCUUAUUGAAUGGACUUCUUGAGCAAUAUUCUGUUUUUCAGAACAAACCAACAUAAAGAGACAGCUUUGCAAUAGUGUGCUGCGAAGCGUCGAAAAUCCUGGGUUGGAGGUGGGUACCGCCACUUCCCCUCAUGCUGUGGUGACCUCAGGCAAGCCAUUUAACCUUGUCCAGGCUCAGUU